CCUACGGGUGGCAGCAGUGAGGAAUAUUGGUCAAUGGGCUUACGCCUGAACCAGCCAAGUCGCGUGAGGGAAGACUGCCCUAUGGGUUGUAAACCUCUUUUGUCAGGGAGCAACGCCGGCUACGUGUAGCCGGACUGAGAGUACCUGAAGAAAAAGCAUCGGCUAACUCCGUGCCAGCAGCCGCGGUAAUACGGAGGAUGCGAGCGUUAUCCGGAUUUAUUGGGUUUAAAGGGUGCGUAGGCGGAAUGCCAAGUCAGCGGUAAAAUCGCGGGGCUCAACCCUGAGCCUGCAUUUGAAACUGUGUUUCUUGAGUGCUGGAGAGGCAAUCGGAAUUCCGUGUGUAGCGGUGAAAUGCGUAGAUAUACGGAGGAACACCAGUGGCGAAGGCGGAUUGCUGGACAGUAACUGACGCUGAGGCGCGAAAGCGUGGGGAGCAAACAGGAUUAGAUACCCUGUAGUC
RNAcentral lists this ribosomal RNA (460 nucleotides) under uncultured bacterium. RNAcentral's name for it is "partial 16S ribosomal RNA". It matches the Rfam family "Bacterial small subunit ribosomal RNA", at positions 338 to 795 of the family's 1533-position model. The record is from RNAcentral.